AUGCAGUUAACAGACACAUCAGCCAUUCCACCCUCCAAGCAUUUGAGAGGCCAUCUGCACACACACCACCAAGCCUUCUGCCACCAGGAAGUGGUCACUUCCUCCUUUGCUGCAGAGUAUCCUCAUGGAAUAAUAAAGUGGAGGAAUUCCAUGGGAACUGGAACAACCUCCAGGAAGUGAUGCAGGAGCAAAAGGAGCACAGCCAGGAGAACAUUUUACACAGAGACUGAUACACUGUGGUACAAUUGAAAGUAAUGGACUUCUCCAUUAGUGGCAAUGCAGUGUUCCUGAACAACACGAAGUGGUCUAUGAGAAAAAACACUAUCCACAUCUGUGGGAGUAGAAACACAGAAGUAAAACAACUGCUUGAUUACAUGGGUCGAGGGGAUAUGAUUGGGGAUGUAGACUCUAAAUGAACAUCCUAAUGCAAACACCAACAACAUGGAAAUGGGUUCUGAUCAAGGACACAUGUAAUACCCAGUGGAAUUGUGCAUCAACUAUGGGAGAGGUGGGGGAAGGGGAGGGAGGAAUAGAAUAUGAUUUUUGUAACCAAGGAAGAAUGUUUGAAAUUGAC
RNAcentral lists this long non-coding RNA (574 nucleotides) under Monodelphis domestica (gray short-tailed opossum). RNAcentral describes it as "lncRNA (ENSMODG00000041085.1)". Lineage: Eukaryota; Metazoa; Chordata; Mammalia; Didelphimorphia; Didelphidae. The record is from RNAcentral.